RNAcentral lists this ribosomal RNA (483 nucleotides) under uncultured bacterium. RNAcentral's name for it is "SSU rRNA". It matches the Rfam family "Bacterial small subunit ribosomal RNA", at positions 26 to 521 of the family's 1533-position model. The record is from RNAcentral.
AGGACGAACGCUGGCGGCGUGCUUAAUACAUGCAAGUCGAACGAGGUCCAUCCAGUGGCAACACUGGUGAAGACCUAGUGGCGAACGGGUGAGUAACACGUGAGGAACCUGCCCCGAAGACCGGGAUAACCCUUCGAAAGGAGGGCUAAUACCGGAUACCCCCACCAGGUCGCAUGGCCAGGUGAGGAAAUGGAUUCCGCUUCGGGAGGGUCUCGCGGCCUAUCAGCUUGUUGGUGAGGUAACGGCUCACCAAGGCAUCGACGGGUAGCUGGUCUGAGAGGACGAUCAGCCACACUGGGGACUGAGACACGGCCCAGACUCCUACGGGAGGCAGCAGUAGGGAAUCUUGCGCAAUGGGCGAAAGCCUGACGCAGCAACGCCGCGUGGGGGAUGAAGGCUCUCGGGUUGUAAACCCCUUUCAGCAGGGACGAAUUGACGGUACCUGCAGAAGAGCCCCGGCAACUACGUGCCAGCAGCCGCGGU